Molecule: ribosomal RNA, 858 nt
Filed under: uncultured bacterium
Lineage: Bacteria
Description: bacterial SSU rRNA
Rfam family: Bacterial small subunit ribosomal RNA
Source: RNAcentral
CACGGCGCACGGGUGCGUAACACGUGGGCAAUCUGCCCUCCGAUGGGGGAUAACCCCGCGAAAGCGGGGCUAAUACCGCAUGAUAUUCCGGGGACCCCGGUCCCUGGACUCAAAGGCCGCAAGGCCGUCGGAGGAGGAGCCCGCGCCCGAUUAGCUAGUUGGUGAGGUAACGGCUCACCAAGGCUUUGAUCGGUAGCCGGUCUGAGAGGAUGGCCGGCCACACUGGAACUGAGACACGGUCCAGACUCCUACGGGAGGCAGCAGUGGGGAAUAUUGCGCAAUGGGCGAAAGCCUGACGCAGCGACGCCGCGUGGGGGAUGAAGCUUCUCGGAGUGUAAACCCCUUUCGACCCGGACGAAUGACCCGCAAGGGUUUGACGGUACGGGUAUAAGAAGCCCCGGCUAACUACGUGCCAGCAGCCGCGGUAAUACGUAGGGGGCCAGCGUUGCUCGGAAUUACUGGGCGUAAAGGGUUCGUAGGCGGUGCGGCAAGUUGGGAGUGAAAUCUCUGGGCUUAACCCAGAGGCUGCUUUCAAAACUGCCGUGCUCGAGUGCGGGAGAGGCCAGUGGAAUUGCAGGUGUAGCGGUGAAAUGCGUAGAUAUCUGCAGGAACACCCGUGGCGAAGGCGGCUGGCUGGACCGCAACUGACGCUGAGGAACGAAAGCUAGGGGAGCAAACAGGAUUAGAUACCCUGGUAGUCCUAGCCCUAAACCAUCAGAACUUGGGGUGGCUCGCGUAGGCGGGUCGUCCCGUAGCUAACGCGUUAAGUUCUGCGCCUGGGGAGUACGGUCGCAAGACUGAAACUCAAAGGAAUUGACGGGGGCCCGCACAAGCGGUGGAACAUGUGGUUCAAUUCGA